GACGAACCGUGCGAACGUUAUUCGGAUUCACUGGGCUUAAAGGGCGCGUAGGCGGGCGGCUUUGUCAGGGGUGAAAUCUUUCGGCCCAACCGGAAGACUGCCUCUGAGACGGGCCGUCUCGAGGGAGGUAGGGGCAUGCGGAACUUCCGGUGGAGCGGUGAAAUGCGUAGAUAUCGGAAGGAACGCCGGUGGCGAAAGCGGCGUGCUGGACCUCUUCUGACGCUGAGGCGCGAAAGCCAGGGGAGCAAACGGG
This 253-nucleotide ribosomal RNA is filed under the name uncultured bacterium. Its description in RNAcentral is "partial 16S ribosomal RNA". It matches the Rfam family "Bacterial small subunit ribosomal RNA", at positions 524 to 776 of the family's 1533-position model. The record is from RNAcentral.